Molecule: non-coding RNA, 2441 nt
Organism: Petromyzon marinus (sea lamprey)
Lineage: Eukaryota; Metazoa; Chordata; Hyperoartia; Petromyzontiformes; Petromyzontidae
Source: RefSeq, a predicted model, not a curated record
AUCACCCACCCCCUCGUGUGCCGUGCCAGCCUUCAUAGGUGCUCGCUAACAGAACUUGCCCCAACAGUCUGUUAAGGCUAGACGGGGGGAUCUUUGUCUUUAUAUGAGGAAUGGUCGUACAAGCUUUCAGAAUCGAGACCCUUUAAUGAGGACCAUCUCAAUGUUAGGAUUUGUUGUAGCUCUGUCUUGGUGUCCUGCGUUGUGCAUUAAACACAGCAGCACAUUGUUCUAAGUAAACACAAGGGUGCAGCCCUGCAAUUGCUUUGGUUAUGCCAUUGCUGGAGGAAGGGCCUCCACUCGAGGAGUCGCCUUCUGUUACGUGACGGGAAAAACCGCUUGACGAUGGCACGUCCAGUCUGGCGAUCCACUCGGUGGCUUUCCAAGAUGCCAAGUGGAGGCAUGAAGCGCCUCCCGUAGCUACAGACCCCAGUGGGCAGGUCGGCCGGCUAUGCGCUCCGCGGUGUGGGAGUCAUGGUCGCGCUUGGGGCUGACAUCUCUGUACGGCGCGGAAGGAGUUCGCCGUGCGCAUGGUCUUCGAGGGAGGUCGUUUGCCAUGGACUUCCGGUGCUGGGUCAGUGACGAGCCGUUAGUUUCUCUUUGCCGCAUGUGUCUCACGAGUUCGUCCAUGUGGAUAUUGGGUUCGUGCCCGAAGAGUGCAUUGGGCCAGACAUCUUGGAGGAAGUGGAAGUGCCCACGGUUUACCCCAUCACACGAGCGAGCUGCCGAACGACUAACCGUGGUGAACCUGCUGGGUGGACAAAGGUUGAGAGGGAUCCAAUGAACUUAGACCGUCGUUUCAACUGUCUCUUAGAGUUCUGAUCGAAGCGGUGACCUCUGAUUGCAAGUCCACCAUGCCAAUCAUCAUUGCACAACGGAAGCAUCCUGUUAUAAUUAACUGUAUAAAAAUACACACACAUAGGCCUUCAUGCAUACUCUUAGUAUACCAUUCUUAAAAAUUUGACGGGCCCUCAUGUUUAUAUAUGUGCAUCACAGCGAUUAUAAAAGUGUAUAUUAAAGCAAUGGAAAUGUAUGUUGCGUGUGUGUACAUAUACUGUUUAUAUUACACACAGGUUAUUCGAGGCAAUAAUAACCUUUCAUUCACAUCUGUAUCUGUUAGCAUAUGCGUGCUGCCUAGGAGCGGGGCCAGUGUUUGGGCCAUGUUGUUUGCUAAGCUGUAAACCUGUCACCAUUACGAUUAAACACAAGCCUCGACUUUGUUGCCAAUUUUCAGAAAAUCUCUCUUACACGCGAUCAUUGGGGCCCAUAUCACAGUACAACGACGCAUUACCGACUCACUGAUGACCGACGUAUAGACAGAUAUAUGUGAAGAGGGUUCGGAUAUUUGAACAUGUGUAGAAAAUGACGGUUACACAGUGUGUAUGGGCGGUUCAUCGGUCAGGUUUGGAUAAAACGACCUUGCACUGUGUUUGGCUUCUAUGGGAUUUAUGUGAUAGAUUUUUUUUCAAUGAAAAACUGUAGAUUGACAAAUGAGUAUGAAAAAGACAAUUACAGGAGAACUCUUAUUUAGCGGUCCUAUUAUCCGCGACUCCGACUAUCCACGGCACCUGUAGGGUACGAGAAAACCCCUAUUAUCCGUGACCCUAUUUCUUUAUGUUCUACGCAGUUUUACCCACAAUGCACAGCAACGCAGUUUCCUAAAACUUGCGAUUUAUUCCGCGGAUAAGUUGUGAAGCAGUUUAAUCCGUAUUAUUCAUCGGGGUUAACAAUGAUGAGAAGAUAAUAUGACCUGCCGCGAUAUUGGUCGCCCAUAUCACCGCGCAUAAGAGGAGUUCUGUAUUUCUCAAGCAGAGAUCCAAUUGUGUUGAACAUUAUUUGGUUUGCCCCGAAUGUUACGUUAAUGGCCUAUGGCACUUCUGUGAUAAAAAAAAAAACCCAUUAACAUCACGUUUCUAAUGCAUGUUCAUUAAAGGUUUCACCCGUUAAAAAUGCUACAUAAUUGGUGAGAAAUGUAACGACAGUACAGAAUACUGUACCCCUUAUUAUUUCUUUAAAGAGUUGCCAAAUGAAACACAUUUAUUAAAAUAUUUUAACUUUUUUGUUCAAUAAAGGUUUUUCAUUUUUUUAAACUGUACACUUGCCCUAUAUAAAUAUAUGUAAUGGUUUUAGAUUUAAUAUAACAAAAAGAGAGAAAAUAACAUUAUAUGCUGCUAUAGUGUUCCUGUAUGCUAGAGCUUUUUGGUUGCUAAGCAAUCAUCGUCAUUUGUUUUAUUCAACUAUGUAACUACACUGUGUAUGUUAUUUUCUAAGUACAUCGUUGUGUAUAUACAGUCACUUCCUAAUUUAUAAUUUAUUUCAGCCUUGUCAUAUUUGUAGGCAAUAACAGUAUAUUUUUGGUACCCAAUAAUCUAUGCACAUCUGAACUACAGUUGUUAUUUUCAAAUUUCCACAUCGGAUUGAAGUCAUUAAAAUGUCACCAAUAA